This is an RNA transcript of Venturia canescens, 3606 nucleotides long. RefSeq lists it as uncharacterized. The transcript has 8 exons. The record is from RefSeq and is a predicted model, not a curated record. NCBI's taxonomy places the organism in Eukaryota, Metazoa, Arthropoda, Insecta, Hymenoptera, Ichneumonidae.
CUGACUGCAUCGACGAGCCACACUAUCGUGAUUCCAUGGGCGAUUCCGUGAAGCAAAAUUUUCUGGUCGACUGAACGUUUUUUCUUCUUUUUUUUUCGUUCCCUGCGUUUUGGAGCAAGAUUCAUGCUUUCUCGACUUUUCUUUCAGCUACUCAGGCCCGAUGAGCGAGAAACUGUUCAAUCGAACCUGCCCAGUCCCCGGAACGGUGCCCCGCAAGCCCGAAAAGCAGAAAAAGCCUGAAUUUUGGACUUUCGAUCGAGCGUCACGGUGCAAGUGCGCGCCAUGACUCCGUGGCCGUGAUAUCCAUCCGCGAGGAGAGAAACGACGUUAAAACUCGGUCGGAAGGCCUGCUACGAGGCCAGGAUUAUGCGCGAUGUCGAUGAAUGCAUGCGCCUUUGAUUCUCCAAUGAAAAUUCAUGGGCGUUGGCUCUCAAAGGUCUUCUUCUACGCCGCGUCGAGAAUCUACUCUUCGAGAUUCUUACACAAUAUUGAUACGCACGUUGGACGGGUGCGCGAGAAGGUCCUUAUGCAGGCGAUGUGACGGCCGGGCCACCGGAGUCGAUCGCACGCGCUUGCAGAAAAAGACGCCGCGCGCUCGGACCGUACAUCGAGUUGCGAUAGGCAUCUAGGCGCCGCCGCGUUGCCGCGGCGCCCGUGCAAUCGAUUUUAUUUGUUGGAUCUGACCAGCCGAUUACCUCAGCACGGGAAUAUUUGCGAGCCGAUCGUGACGAAUAAAUCGUCAUUGAGAGGACGACAGUGGAAAUGGUCACUCUGCUGCAAUGCUGCGAUGCAAAAAGGUUUUCCACUGAAAUGAAGCCGGACUUUGGUGACGAGGAGUUUGGAUCGGAGGCUGCGCUGCUGGGAUCCUAGCGAUGAAUUUUCAAACACAUUUCCUUCGAUCGGCGUGUACGAAUAGCGAAAUACAAUACUGGAAGCUUGCUACAGGAUUUAAUGAAAUGGCGGAGGGUACGAAUACGAAGGUGGCAAAGGUCCCGCACCUGGUCUUAAUAGGCCACACGCACGAGAAUGAAAUAGAAAGGAUGGAGAUGAAGAAGACGAGUAUAAGAAUGAGAGAAGAAAAGGAAGGAGGAGAAGAAGAGUUUAUAGAAUUAGUAGCUGAUCUUCUCUUCCUUCUUGUUGUGGAGCAACCCAGUCAGGGUCGGCAAUCAUCAAAGACUAAGGCACUCCGAGGAGGCUGCUCCGUUCAGAUCUUUUUGAAUCCCUUACCGAGAGCUGCCUGUCGAAAAUUGCUCCGACGAUCGUUAGCCGAAUACCUGCACGAAGGGAUUCCAGUCGAUGAAUGCAAGAAUCGCCAGGGACACUGCAACAGCCUGCGGUCGUGCCUCCAAACGAGCAGCACAUUUUGUUGGAGCCCGACGAUCGCUAUUCAUCUUUUCUUCACGAUGAUCGAUGCUCAUUGGACGAGCUUCUUUUUCGACUAAAAUCUGCCGAGAUUAUCGGGACAUUUCUCCAAGCAAGUUUUUACAGGCAGAUUUUUCAAGCUGCCUGUAGUCGAUUGACCUCCGAGCACGUAUCGUAGAUUUUAAGUCGAACGAGGUCUUAAAAAUUCGAAAAGAUAGAGCGCGCGCAAAGAUUGGAAACAACCCACGCAGAUUUGCGUCGACAAGGCGUGGCGAACGGCGUCCUUCGUGUUACAGAAGAGAUUUUUCCUCCCGAGCAUCUGCGUCAUAUGAUUGGACGGCUUUCGCCACUUGAAAAAUUAAAGGCGGUGGGGAGAUAUGUCGGGGGCUGGAUAGAGUCGACAUGGAAAUGGGUCUCGUGUGACGAUACCGGAUGCACGGAGCCUGGUGUUCCGUAAGCCUCAUGCGAAUUCGACACUGUCCGAGUCGUUUUUCCCUUCGAGUAACUAUUCGUUCCUCGACACAUGGAACGAUCGAACUUUGGGGACUCGCUCGCAAUUAGUCAGUGUCCGGUUUGAGAGAACGUGAAGAUUUUCGUGUUGCUCGAGCAAGAGCAGGAUCCUCCAUCUGGUUUCAAACGGAACCGAUGCUCGGGAUCAUCCUUGGAUUCGGCCGAUUGAAGAAUGGCUGGCAAAGCAGGGACUUUUCGCUCGGGAAAUCGACAAGUUUUUCUCAUCCCGACGAUUGAUUCGUCUCUCAAGGAAUCUUGGGCAUCAGCAUCGAACCCCCCUUCGAUUGAAUAACGUCAUUGAUUGCGAUCAUUGUCUGAAGAAAUCGAUUUUACAGUCGAGCAGCGACCGAUACGAAGCUCGAUCUCGACAUUUCGAAAGCAUCGGUUCAACAGGGAAGCGAUGCCUCGUUAAAUAAAAUCUCGUCCGGGGGACGAUGGGUUGAGCUCAACACGCGCGAACAUACAGCGCGGAACGAAACUCAACAAAAUGUUAGCGAGUGAUUUACAAGCUGCGAAGAAUUGAUGAAGGAAUAAUAAUUAUUGAGAUCCCGUACGGCGUAUGACCCUUGAAGGAAUGCGAGCGUGCACGCACGCAUUUGAGCGACAGCGAGGGAUAGCUAUUCCGCAGUGCAGAUCUCGUGUGUGCUAUGGAGCGGUCGCCCGUUCAUCGACAGGUUAAACAAUAAGCGUGUAAUUAAGAUAUGGAUCGUGCAUAGCGGUGCACAGCCGCAGGAGAAUUGUGCAAGGGCCGAAGAGUUUUCACGCAGCGUCGUCUUAACCUCGCGCGAAUUCAUCUUUCCUCCGCGCAUCGUUUUACCGCACCUUCGUACACUCGAGAAAAAAGUAUUAGAGGAAAGAGAGGCGAGAAAAAAUGGUUUACCGAGGGCUUACACACGAGGAGUGUGUGGUAUUUCGCCGUUGAAGCUUUCUCGGCUCAUAUGUACGGGCGCGUCUAUUUUCACACCGCGAUACCGAUCUUCUCACACACGCGGCAACGAGACCGAAAGAGAAGAAGGACGAUAAAAGAGAGCAAGAGAGAGAGGGAGAGAGAAAGCGGCGCCCGAGUAAUCCAACACGGAACGGAGGGCAGCGGAGUGCGAAAGAGAAGAAAAAAUAAAGAACAACGAGCCAUGGGAGGCUCGUACUCCCCGACUCGGCAGAGGGACAUAAUGAAGAGUCGAGUGUCUAUAAAAUCAUCCAUGAAGGUAAUUUCGAGUUUCUUUUCAUCGUGGCAUUCGACUUGAUGGGGCUUCCCGGACUGAAUCGACGUUGGAAAUACCUCAAGCAAGACGUCGAGGCCGAUCAUUUAGAUGAGAAUCGACGAGCGGUGCGCGUUCGGAAUAAUUGGAAAUCGUCGUUGACACAAUUGUGUCACUUGACUAAACGAUCGGAACGCAAAUUUUAUGAGUUUUGCAAGAGCCUCGGCGCCUCAGUCGAGAAUCUCGUGAUUUUCUCGCCAUCCUGCUUGUCGACCGAUUUUCUCCCAGGGUCGAAUCAUCUCUAAUGUCAAACGGUUCGUCAAAGUGGAGAAAUCAUUAAUUCAGCAAAAAAGGCGUUGCCAGAGCGCGUGGAAGUUUGGAUCGAAAAAAAUGGGCAGCUGGGAAGUCGUUUUGAAACUGAAUUUCUUGGAAGAAUAACUUUUCCAGCACUGCUCAUUCCCGACAUUAAGAUACGAAAGAGGAAUUACUUUCUAGAAUCACUAUAAAAUAAUGAAACGAUCUUUGAAUUCAGUAU